Molecule: ribosomal RNA, 484 nt
Filed under: uncultured Acidobacteriota bacterium
Lineage: Bacteria; Pseudomonadati; Acidobacteriota
Description: bacterial SSU rRNA
Rfam family: Bacterial small subunit ribosomal RNA
Source: RNAcentral
AAGUCGAACGAGAAAAUCCGGCUUCGGUUGGAUGAGUACAGUGGCGAACGGGUGAGUAACACGUGGGCAAUCUUCCCUUAAAUCUGGGAUAACCCUUCGAAAGGAGGCCUAAUACCGGAUAACACUGUCGGGCGGCAUCGUCUGACAGUCAAAGACGGAGCAAUCUGCCGUUUAAGGAUGAGCCCGCGUCCCAUUAGCUUGUUGGCGGGGUAACGGCCCACCAAGGCUGCGAUGGGUAGCCGACCUGAGAGGGUGACCGGACACACUGGGACUGAGAUACGGCCCAGACUCCUACGGGAGGCAGCAGUAGGGAAUUGUUCGCAAUGGGCGCAAGCCUGAUUUUUUAACGCCGCGUGGAGGAUGAAGACCUUCGGGUCGUAAACUCCUUUCGACCGAGAAGAAUGGCCUCCGACCUAAUACGUCGGAGGCAUGACGGUAUCGAGGGAAGAAGCCCCGGCUAACUCUGUGCCAGCAGCCGCGGUAA